UACGUAGGGGGCAAGCGUUGUCCGGAUUUAUUGGGCGUAAAGAGCGUGUAGGCGGCCAAACAGGUCAGCUGUGAAAACUCGAGGCUCAACCUCGAGACGUCGGUUGAAACCGUUUGGCUAGAGUCCGGAAGAGGAGAGUGGAAUUCCCGGUGUAGCGGUGAAAUGCGCAGAUAUCGGGAAGAACACCCGUGGCGAAGGCGGCUACUCUGGAGCGGUACUGACGCUGAGACGCGAAAGCGUGGGGAGCAAACAGG
Molecule: ribosomal RNA, 254 nt
Filed under: uncultured bacterium
Lineage: Bacteria
Description: partial 16S ribosomal RNA
Rfam family: Bacterial small subunit ribosomal RNA
Source: RNAcentral